CAGUCGCCACGGGAACACGAAGGGUGCAAGCGUUAAUCGGAAUUACUGGGCGUAAAGCGUGCGUAGGCGGUUUGUUAAGUCUGCUGUGAAAUCCCCGGGCUCAACCUGGGAACUGCCUUUGUGACUGCAAGGCUAGAGUACGGCAGAGGGGGAUGGAAUUCCGCGUGUAGCAGUGAAAUGCGUAGAUAUGCGGAGGAACACCGAUGGCGAAGGCAAUCCCCUGGGCCUGUACUGACGCUCAUGCACGAAAGCGUGGGGAGCAAACAGGAUUAGAUACCCGCGUAGUCCCUGUCUCUUAUAC
Molecule: ribosomal RNA, 301 nt
Filed under: uncultured bacterium
Lineage: Bacteria
Description: partial 16S ribosomal RNA
Rfam family: Bacterial small subunit ribosomal RNA
Source: RNAcentral